UGAAAAAAUCCCUCUUCCACCUCUCAGGUGGUGAUGAAGUGAGAUUUACACCUGGCCCAAUUUCCCCUUAGCCUGCAGCAGCUCCUGGUAGUGCUGCCUGCUCCUCACUUAACCCUUGAGGUGUCAGCUCCUUCCCAGGCCUGCAUGGUGCCUUGGAGCCAGCAUUGCCAUGUGCAGCCUGGCUGCUGACUGCUUCACCUCCCUAGCAUGCACCCUGCUGCCUUUCAUGCUUUGAAAUAAUCUCCUUGUGCUUAGACAUGGUUAAACAUAGCAGACUUCGAAACUAUUUGAAAGAGGCUCAUCCCUGCCUACUGUAGCCGCUCUUGGGAGGCAGCCCUGUUACAAACGUCCCAACCACCGUGUCUCUACCUGGGGAACUUGGCUUUCAGCCUCUGGUCACAAGACUGCAUCUCUCUUAGUGCUAAUUAAUACAGCCAAA
RNAcentral lists this long non-coding RNA (439 nucleotides) under Anser brachyrhynchus (Pink-footed goose). RNAcentral's name for it is "lncRNA (ENSABRG00000002858.1)". The record is from RNAcentral. Lineage: Eukaryota; Metazoa; Chordata; Aves; Anseriformes; Anatidae.